RNAcentral lists this long non-coding RNA (1983 nucleotides) under Chinchilla lanigera (long-tailed chinchilla). RNAcentral describes it as "lncRNA (ENSCLAG00000024960.1)". The record is from RNAcentral. Lineage: Eukaryota; Metazoa; Chordata; Mammalia; Rodentia; Chinchillidae.
CCAUGCCUAUCAACUAUAGAAUGGACAAACUAAAUAUGACAUAUUCAUGCCAUGAAAUACUAUUAAGCAGUAAAAAGGAACAAGGCGGUGAUAGGUAGGUACUUUAAUAGCACUGUGUCCAGGGAAAGUGGUCAGGCACAGAGAAGCAGGUAUUGCUGGUUCCACUUCCAUGACACUUCUAGAAAUAGUAUAAAUUUACUAAAACUCUCACACAUGUAUACUUCAAAUGAGUGAACUUCUGGUUUGCAAAUUAUACACAAGCUAUUUUUAUAAAUGGGAACAUAUUCUAAACACUGCUGCAUGCUAUGCUUUUGUUUAUCUCCACACUUUUACCUUGCAGGGAGUUCUGCAGCAGCUCUUCCUGUUUUUAGUGGUUACACACUAGCUGAGGUAGUCAGUCUGCUAAGCUCAGUUUUGAAAGCCUCUCUCUGCUUCCCUUCCCCUCUCCCCUCCCUUACUUCCAGGGAGGAGCCUUUCCUAAGUGGGGCUGCGACGCUGAUGGUGACCCACCCACACGCAAAGGUGGACGAGAAGCAGCAGUACGUCUCAGCCCCUGGAUCAGUCCUCACUCAUGAAGGACACUCCCCAGUUCCCUGGCUCCUGGUGGAACAACGGCAGCUGCCGGAUGUGGACAGGUUGUCACCAUCAGGGGAGCACUUCCUGAGUCUCAGAUGGACAAAGACACCCAACAAGACAAGGCUACUGUUCCUUGCUGAGGUCUGAGAUAACCAAGAAGGUUCGGAUCCUACAAAUGCACAGCUUGUAAUAUCAUUUCAUCUCACAUUAGUGACGAACUAGAGUAUCAUUAAGGAUGUGGGAUUCUUCCCACAAGGAUCAUUAAAACGAACCUUGUCACAGUGCAGUUGCCUACAUUGGCAAAGGGCAGCAGAGGCAUAGCAGGUCAGCCUAUUGGUCUGAGGCCACGGCAACAGCAGAAACGCUCCUGGAGAAGGCAGAACAUGCUUUUUACCCUUUGACUUACGUUGGGCCUAAAAAAACAGUAUCAUCCUCUGGCCCAUAGAAGAAUAUGGAGGGCUCAGCGUGUCGGCGCAAGCCUGCACCAUAACCUUCUCUUGGGUUCCUUGACAAUGGCGGGACAGUUCCCCUUGGGGUAGCUACUGCCACCAGCCCCCCGCCAGGGUGUGGUCAGGCUAGAUGCUUUCGCUUAGGCAUCAGCUGGGACCCGAGCCUGCUGGAUCCAGGAAGGAAGCAGUCGGCCAGCCAAGCCAGGCCUGCGGUAGCCAAACUCACAGUUGUGGGUUACCGACCAAACUCUGCCCGUCAAGCCCCCACUACAUCACCGACCCAGCCAGCCUUCAGCUGCAGAAGCAGAUAGAUGCUUAUGAUCGACAGACUUUCCACUGAGUUUGGGGUGGCUGCAUAUGCAAGAGUUGAUGCAGUGGGCAAUGGGGAAGAGUAAGAAGCCAGAGAAACAGCGCAGGCUAGGUUUUCCCUCAUUCCACCCCUGAACAAGUUGGGGCAACAUACAGAACCUAUUUAUGAUGUUCACAAUGCAGUAGAAAGCUCUCCAUAUCUUCUCCCAAGAAUACCCCUACUGCCAUGUCCCUCAGUGGGACACUUCCAAGAAGUGUGGCACACAGUCUGCCACAGACCCCCAGCGAAACUGAGGCACACAUGGUGUCCCCUCCUAACUGCACUCCCCACACCCCCAUUGUGCCUCUGGGUAUCGCUGCCCAUAUAAAUGCUUGCAUCCCAAUUCCUGACCCAAACAAAGACAGCCUCAUUUUUACAAGUAACGACUAACACUCCUUGAGCACUUGGAGGUUGUGGAUGCACGACACACAGAUGACUUCCUUCCAUGCCUCUGUUUUCUCUCCCGUAAAAUGGAGACAAGGGCACUGCCUGUCUACCUCUCCUGAGGUCAGAACGUGCAAUGUGUUUAAAACUGGACCUGACUCACAGCCUGCCGUCCAUCCAUGCUGUUUAUUUUCAAGCAAGACUUACGUACCUGCUACAAUCGGG